This 859-nucleotide long non-coding RNA is filed under the name Androctonus crassicauda. Lineage: Eukaryota; Metazoa; Arthropoda; Arachnida; Scorpiones; Buthidae. The record is from RNAcentral.
UGAUUCUUCAUCUAUUCUUUGUGCUCUUUCAGAUGACAAAGUGUUGGCGGGGUCCCAGACGCAUCGGGUGCGAUGUUCCCUUGUUAGAUACACCUUAUUUAACCAGUUUUAAUUUUUUUAAAAGAUUUUUCUCUAAGGUAUGUAUAUUGUUUAUAAAUUAUAAAAUCUCAGAUUCAGUAGAUGUUCUUUGUUAGUCUGGAACUGAAAACUUGCAAAAACAAAGAUAUAAAUAUUGUGUUAAUUUAAACACAAAUGACUUAUCAGAUUUUCAUUUCAAAUUUUAGUCUAGGGUGAUUAUUCCCAAUUUGAAAUAUUCCAAAAUUCAUAAUUUCAUUUUCAUAGCAGAGAACACUUUGGAGCAGAAUAUGACCACUAUUUGUACCACAAUAAUGUGCAUAUGGCUUUAGGGCAUUGUUAUAGUUCAGAAAAUAUCAAAUUUGCUCAGUGCCAGAUGUCUGACUAAUUUUAUAUGGUACUGCUUAUAUCAUUAAAAAAUGUCAAAAAAGCCUGCUACUGAUAACACUAUGGGUAAUAGUGAUAAGAUUCAAAGAUGAUAAAUAUAUUUUACAUUUUUAUUGCAUUUAUAUUCUUGUUUUUUAUAUUAAAUAAAAAUUUUUCUGAAAGAUCUGAAUUUUUUCUUUUUAAUUUUUAUCAUAUAUAUAUUCCAAAAUCUGAAACAAUCUGUUCCAUACAUUUUGGAUUGGGUAUAUUUAUCCUGUAUUUAAUUAAUGUUCAGUCAUACUUUGCCCCCACAUUGCUUUAUUGUGUAAGCUAUAAAGCAAUGUGGGGUAUUGUGUGCUAUAAAGCAAUAAAUUAAUCUGAAAAAUAUCAAUUUUCAGAUUAAUUCAGGAUAUCCGAG